ACUGGGAAUAUUGCGCAAUGCUCGCAAGAGUGACGCAGCGACGCCGCGUGAACGAAGACGGCCUUCGGGUUGUAAAGUUCGCAAGAUGGGGAGGAAAUCUUGACUUAACCCAUCACAAGCCUUGACUAACCACGUGCCAGCAGUCGCGGUGAUACGUGGAAGGCAAGCGUUAUCCGGAUUUAUUGGGCGUAAAGGGCAUGUAGGCGGAGGAAUAAGUCUUUCAUUAAAUCCUUUGGCUUAACCAAAGAAUUGUGCUAGAUACUGUUCUUCUAGAGGAAGACAGGGGCAGAUGGAACUUGCGGUGUAGGGGUGAAAUCCGUUGAUAUCGCAAGGAACACCAAUGGCGAAAGCAGUCUGCUGGGUCUUUCCUGACGCUAAGGUGCGAAAGCGUGGGGAGCGAACGGGAUUAGAAACCCUUGUAGUCC
This 425-nucleotide ribosomal RNA is filed under the name uncultured bacterium. RNAcentral describes it as "bacterial SSU rRNA". It matches the Rfam family "Bacterial small subunit ribosomal RNA", at positions 354 to 796 of the family's 1533-position model. The record is from RNAcentral.